Molecule: ribosomal RNA, 390 nt
Filed under: uncultured bacterium
Lineage: Bacteria
Description: bacterial SSU rRNA
Rfam family: Bacterial small subunit ribosomal RNA
Source: RNAcentral
AUUGAACGCUGGCGGCAUGCCUUACACAUGCAAGUCGAACGGCAGCACGGGAGCAAUCCUGGUGGCGAGUGGCGAACGGGUGAGUAAUAUAUCGGAACGUGCCCAGUCGUGGGGGAUAACUACUCGAAAGAGUGGCUAAUACCGCAUACGAUCUCUGGAUGAAAGCGGGGGACCUUCGGGCCUCGCGCGAUUGGAGCGGCCGAUAUCAGAUUAGGUAGUUGGUAGGGUAAAAGCCUACCAAGCCUGCGAUCUGUAGCUGGUCUGAGAGGACGACCAGCCACACUGGAACUGAGACACGGUCCAGACUCCUACGGGAGGCAGCAGUGGGGAAUUUUGGACAAUGGGCGCAAGCCUGAUCCAGCCAUGCCGCGUGCGGGAAGAAGGGCCUUC